Leopardus geoffroyi (Geoffroy's cat) is the source of this 215-nucleotide long non-coding RNA. RefSeq lists it as uncharacterized. The record is from RefSeq and is a predicted model, not a curated record. The transcript is spliced from 3 exons. NCBI's taxonomy places the organism in Eukaryota, Metazoa, Chordata, Mammalia, Carnivora, Felidae.
AUGUGUGCUCUCCCGAUGUGGCUACGGUGGUUCCAGCAGCAGUGGCUAUGGCAGUGGCAGAAGGUUUUAAUUACAGCCAGGAAACAAAGCUUAGCAGGAGAGGAGAGCCAGAGAAGUGACAGGGAAGCUACAGGUUACAACAGAUUUGUGAACUCAGCCAAGCACAGUGGUGGCAGGGCCUAACUGCUACAAAGAAGACAUGUUUUAGACAAUAC